This is a non-coding RNA of Lactuca sativa (garden lettuce), 2785 nucleotides long. Lineage: Eukaryota; Viridiplantae; Streptophyta; Magnoliopsida; Asterales; Asteraceae. The record is from RefSeq and is a predicted model, not a curated record.
GAGACCACAUAGGCAAUAAUAUAUUUUGGUAUAAUUAUAAUUAAUUUUUUAACCUUGGAUAUAUUGGACGUCUCUUUCUUCUUCUUGCCUCCUCCUAUGCUUCUUCUUCACGCAUCCUUCUCACCUUUGCAAGUGGGUUCCGAUAUUUGGUUGACGACUUAAAUGGAGGAGACGACGUUUGCCAUUGAUCUGACACUUACAAAUCGUCGGAAUCCCUGAUUCCCACCGUCGACUGCUUCCCCAUCGGUGAUUUCACCAUCUGUUUUUCCAGAACAGGUCGAAGCUUCAAUUUGUGUAAAUUUUUUGCUGAAAAGGUCUUUCAGUCAUUCUCCAUUGUCCCUUUCUAUGAACUCCUUCCAUACCUCAAGUUCUUCGGCUUCACAUACCACAAACAGAUUAAGUAAAUAAUUUGGUAUCCGAUUUGUGUUCUCUUUCAAGAACCCAUAUGAACGACUGGUUUAUGAUUUACGAUUUCUGGAACUACUAAGGAGACUGACGUUGCAGGUCAGAUUCAUCUGACUUGGAGACAGAUUUUUGGGUUGUUGUUUAUUUCUAGUUUCCGGUUAAGAUUGCCAAUACGAGGGCAUUACUAGAGGCAGAGGUGAAUAUUUGAUUUUUUAAAUUUUAAAAUAUUUAAAAAAAGCCACCUAAGCAAAGGUAACCGGUGAAACCGUUUAAUUUUUUGAAAAAUGAUGUAAUUAGAAGGUAAAAAUGGAGUUUAGUGGUCUAAUGUACCACAAAAAAAAACCUUAGUGAUCAAACUAGACAAUUAUCAAAACUUUGAUGUGCUACAUACGGUGUCAUUUUUCCAUUUUUUUUUGAUGAUAUGAAAAAAUUGACAAUUUUCUAUUUUUUUUUUAUGAUAUGAAAAAACUGACAAGUGUAAGUUAUAUUUUUCAAAUGAAAAAAUAUAAAAGACAAAAACAAAAGACUUUAAUUAGAUAUUUACAAACUUAUUUUUUUAAAUUUAUUGUAAUUAGUGUUUUAUGAUUUUAUUGGAAUUUAAUAAAACCAAAUAGCUUAUUGUAGCUUAUUUUUUAAUAAAUUAUCUAUAAUAAAUUAUUAAUAAAUUAGCUUUUCAACCACCUCACUAAAUAAUGCUUAAAUAGUUAGAUUAACCACCAUUAAGAAUUCAAGAUAGCUCAAGAUAUAUAAAUAAUAAAAUGGUUCAAUGGUUAAAUUCUAUAAUCUUCAAUUUUAGAAAACCAUUUUAAGAAAAUAGUUAAAUCUAACUUUAUGAUGCUUGAAUCAUGCAAGAAAAUAUGGUUUGAUAUUUGGUUUAUAUGGUAUAUUUAAAUUGGUUUGAUAUUUGGUUUAUAUGGUAUAUUUAAAAUGGUCUAGCUAUUCUAACACUUAGAUUUUUCUUUUCAAAGAAUUCUCUAUUUCUAAUGGUUUGUGGUACAUAAAAUACAUUGUAAAGAAAAGAGUAGCGUAGACAAGUAAUGAAAAUCUCUCUCGGUCUAUGAUACCUAAAUGGAAGAAAAUUCGGAUCAAACCCUUAUUUAUCUUUAACCUAGGUUAAUUUACUUCGCCUAAAAAGAGCAAAACGGAUCAAACUCUUAUUCUUAUUAUUGCUGAUUUUAUUUUUGUUAGGUUUAAGUCCGACGAGAAUAAUAUUCUACCACUAACAAUUCAUUUGUUUUCAAACCGACCGCCUUAUUAUCUAUUAUUUAAUUGACUUAUUCUUUAUAUUGUAAUGGUUGAAUAGUCAAAUGGUUUGACAAUUCUUCAUGGAGAAUUUGUCGAUGCAUUUGAUUGAAUAUUGCAUUUUUGGUUCAGAUUUUUGAGUUUUAUCGGUUUUGAUCAUGUGUUUUUAAUUUUUGCACUCCACCCUUUUUAACUUUAUUUCUUUUGUUAAAUAUUAGUGAAAAUACUAUUUUACCAUUGGACCAAAAUUGCAAUUAUUUUUUCAAAAAACUCCAUUAUUCCAUUUUCAAUGAACUUUAGGAGAACAAUUCAAAUUCAAGGAUACAAUGUUAUUUAGAAAAUUUUCUGAUUCCUAAAAUUUUCAUUCAGAAAAUCCUAAUCCUAAAAUUUUCAUUCAGAAAAUCCUAAUCAUGUAUGUAAUGUAUCACAAGAAACCAAAGAUUGCAUUUGGAAAAUAUAACAUUAAUUUCUCUUUCGAUUUCAAUCCUAUGCCAACCAUUCAUUUUAGAUAAGGAUAAACCAUUACAUUGUUAGUCUAAUAAAAAUAUUUAACCUAUUUGUUUGGUUGGAUAUAUAUAUAUAUAUAUAUAUAUAUAUAUAUAUAUAUAUAUAUAUAUAUAUAUAUAUAUAUAUAUAUAUAUAUAUAUAUAUAUAUAUAUAUAUUUGUUGCAGCGACCAUAAUUCCAAAUUUUUUAUAAAGUAAAUAGUUCUUUUAAAACACCAUAUAAUAGACUGUAAGGUCUAUUUUAUCAUAUUCAAAAGAUUGUACUAUAGACAUUCAACCAGUGGCCAUGUGACCCUAUUCCGCUAGAGAAUACGAAGGCUACCUCGAAUAUCAAAGGAUAGAUCCAAGUGACAAGGUGAUCAUGUGCCAGAAGAACUAUGCAAAUGACGAGUUUGGAGUACGUUCUGCUAUUCAUAAUGAAUAUCUGCUUUACUUGAUGAGACACUUGGUAUGUUUUUAAUAUUUAACCAAGACUUUCUGCAAGUCAAGUUUAAUUGUUCCAAUAUGACCAUACAAAUGAUACCGAAUGUUCUUCAAAAGGACCGCAAUGACUUGCAUUUUAAGAAAAUGUUUUGUAUAUAUGUUUUACAAAUAUGGUUAUAAAAAAACAUGGUCUCAUGAAUAUUGCAUGCA